Molecule: long non-coding RNA, 277 nt
Organism: Gossypium arboreum
Lineage: Eukaryota; Viridiplantae; Streptophyta; Magnoliopsida; Malvales; Malvaceae
Exons: 3
Source: RefSeq, a predicted model, not a curated record
UGAAUUUGCUAAUGUGAAGGGAGUGAAGAUGGCAGUGAUUGAUGUAAGGAAAGCAGAUGAGGAAGCAGAGUCAAGAGGGAAUAAAAGAGGAACAAAUUAGCCUUGUUGAAGUCAUCCAACUUUGGUUCAACGCGUUCUGGUUUUUGGAGCUUUAGAGGAACCAUAUGCUACUAUUGCCAAUUUAGGCUUCCUGUAGAGAAUUUGACUGGUGCUCGUAUCUCAGAACUCAUGGAAUGAACACAUGGAGAUGGAUGUUAUUUUCAAAGGCAACCCAUCA